Long non-coding RNA from Salvia splendens (bonfire salvia), 439 nucleotides. RefSeq lists it as uncharacterized. The record is from RefSeq and is a predicted model, not a curated record. The transcript is spliced from 2 exons. NCBI's taxonomy places the organism in Eukaryota, Viridiplantae, Streptophyta, Magnoliopsida, Lamiales, Lamiaceae.
CUAUAACCAUCAAAUCACACACAUUCCAGAGAACAUAUAAAUGAGGGAAAGAGAGAAAAAAAAUCCUUGGAGUUGAGCUGCGUCUGUACGUCGAAGAUAGUUCAAGGAAAUCGCCUCCUCCUUCCCCAAAUCGCUUCCGCCAUCGAUCGCCAAGGUCCAGCAAUAGACGUCUUCAUGCCGAAAACGUGCCAAAAACAUUCUGUGUCAGAAUGGUUUGAAAUUCGAACGGUGCUUGCGAAUCGGGCUUAGAAAUCAAAAGCAACACGACAUUGUCGCAUUGAUGGACAAUGGAUUUUAGCCAUCUGACAUCAUGUAGGGGGCGAAAAAGAUAAUAUAUUAUUAUUUGAUAUUUAUUUUUAAGUUUCUAGUUUUCAUUUUAUUUCCUUUGAGUUUUUAGUGUUUUCUAAACGCUUAUAAAUAGUGGAUAUCAUUAUUUUUA